GGUCAUCAACCUGAUGUCCCCUUCUUUCAUGCUAUGUCUGGAGUGCUGUGCCAAGGGAUUGACAAACUGAGGAAGUUCAGCAAAGGGUGACCAGGAAUGAAUGGUACAGUGAACAAAAGACAAUUAUCACAGUCCCAAAAUACAACUGCCUCAUAAGGCAAAAGGAAGCCACUGAAAACUUUGGAGCAGGAGAACAACAUGGUCAGACCUGUUCAUUAGGAAGUUUAUUUUGGCAGCUUUAUGAAAGCUACACGGGAGAGAAUAGAGCCUAAGAGCAGAGAGAUGAGUUUGGAAGCUUUUAAAGUAAUCAAUCAGUCAGUCAACUAGCAUAUAUACCAAGUAUCUACUUAAUUAAUAAAGUCAUUUUAUGGGUAAAAACA
Antechinus flavipes (yellow-footed antechinus) is the source of this 380-nucleotide long non-coding RNA. RefSeq lists it as uncharacterized. The record is from RefSeq and is a predicted model, not a curated record. The transcript has 2 exons. NCBI's taxonomy places the organism in Eukaryota, Metazoa, Chordata, Mammalia, Dasyuromorphia, Dasyuridae.